Molecule: long non-coding RNA, 149 nt
Organism: Pelmatolapia mariae (spotted tilapia)
Lineage: Eukaryota; Metazoa; Chordata; Actinopteri; Cichliformes; Cichlidae
Exons: 6
Source: RefSeq, a predicted model, not a curated record
GUCUGCUCUCGAGUGAAAUAGAAGCUUGGUUUUGCCUUUGCUGAGUGAAACAGAACUUCGGUUUUGCCUUUGCUGGAUACUGAUCUGAUCGUCUCAAGUCUGAGUGAACAGAUCUUUGGUUUUGCCUUUGCUGGUGACCUGCUGCAGAA